Molecule: ribosomal RNA, 296 nt
Filed under: Acanthamoeba sp.
Lineage: Eukaryota; Discosea; Longamoebia; Acanthamoebidae
Also listed under: 1 other name
Description: partial small subunit ribosomal RNA
Rfam family: Eukaryotic small subunit ribosomal RNA
Source: RNAcentral
UGGAAUAGGACCCUGUCCUCCUAUUUUCAGUUGGUUUUGGCACGCGAGGACCAGGGUAAUGAUUAAUAGGGAUAGUUGGGGGCAUUAAUAUUUAAUUGUCAGAGGUGAAAUUCUUGGAUUUAUGAAAGAUUAACUUCUGCGAAAGCAUCUGCCAAGGAUGUUUUCAUUAAUCAAGAACGAAAGUUAGGGGAUCGAAGACGAUCAGAUACCGUCGUAGUCUUAACCAUAAACGAUGCCGACCAGCGAUUAGGAGACGUUGAAUACAAAACACCACCAUCGGUGCGGUCGUCCUUGGC